Molecule: transfer RNA, 72 nt
Filed under: Camelus bactrianus (Bactrian camel)
Lineage: Eukaryota; Metazoa; Chordata; Mammalia; Artiodactyla; Camelidae
Also listed under: 1 other name
Rfam family: tRNA
About the family: Transfer RNA (tRNA) molecules are approximately 80 nucleotides in length.
Source: Rfam by way of RNAcentral
AAGGGUUUAGCUCAGUGGUGGAGCACGUGCUUAGCAUGCACAAGGUCCUGGGCUCAAUCCCCAGUACCUCCA